GUAUUUAAAAAAAUAAUAAUAAUCUGGAUCUGAAUGUUGGGCUGAAUAUGUCCAAUUCACACCCUAAUUUGGAAUAU
Small nucleolar RNA from Anguilla anguilla (European eel), 77 nucleotides. RefSeq annotates it as small nucleolar RNA SNORD69. The record is from RefSeq and is a predicted model, not a curated record. Lineage: Eukaryota; Metazoa; Chordata; Actinopteri; Anguilliformes; Anguillidae. The transcript has a single exon.